GAUGAACGCUGGCGGCGUGCCUAAUACAUGCAAGUCGUACGGAAAGGCCCUUCGGGGUACUCGAGUGGCGGACGGCUGAGUAACGCGUGGGAACGUGCCCCAAAGUGAGGGAUAACGCACCGAAAGGUGUGCUAAUACCGCAUAUGGUCUUCGGAUUAAAGCUUCGGCGCUUUGGGAGCGGCCCGCGUACGAUUAGAUAGUUGGUGAGGUAAUGGCCCACCAAGUCGACGAUCGUUAGCUGGGCUGAGAGGAUGAUCAGCCAGACUGGGACUGAGACACGGCCCAGACUCCUACGGGAGGCAGCAGUAAGGAAUCUUCCAAAAUGGGGGCAACCCUGAUGGAGCAACGCCGCGUGCAGGAUGAAGGUUUUCGGAUCGUAAACUGCUUUUAUAAGUGAAGAAUAUGACGGUAACUUAUGAAUAAGGAUCGGCUAACUACGUGCCAGCCGCCGCCGUAA
RNAcentral lists this ribosomal RNA (457 nucleotides) under uncultured bacterium. Its description in RNAcentral is "partial 16S ribosomal RNA". It matches the Rfam family "Bacterial small subunit ribosomal RNA", at positions 28 to 523 of the family's 1533-position model. The record is from RNAcentral.